UACAGUCACUUGAGUCUGUAAAUGGAAAGAAAACACUGAAAAAUGACGAUUGUAGUUGCAAUGGAUGCCAGAAAUAUUUUUCUGAAAAACUGGUGUAGUGUUGUCAUUCAGACAUAGAGAGACUAUUCCUUCUUCACUGCCAAAGGCUAACUGAACUUUAUUGAUUAACACGUUACACAUAUACAAGUAUAAGAGUUUACUGACUUGAAUUGCAAGUAGUACAUUUACUGAAUUAAGUACAAAGUGCUCACCUUAGAACCCAUAUUAAGGUGGUUGUCAAUAAUUAAGAUAGGUACAUGUAUAAUCAAUACACUACAACUGGCAGAUACAGUUUCUAUUGUACUCCAGUAUAUACAUCUUUCCCAAAAGAUUGUAUUUCUUUAGAGAAGAAUGAAAACUUAAAAGCAUUCUUUAAUCAGUAUAAAA
Non-coding RNA from Pocillopora verrucosa, 426 nucleotides. Lineage: Eukaryota; Metazoa; Cnidaria; Anthozoa; Scleractinia; Pocilloporidae. The record is from RefSeq and is a predicted model, not a curated record.